GCGUGAGCUUCCCACUGGCUCCGUCCAAAGCCAUCUUUGCAUUGUUCUGCCUUGCUUGCUCCGGCUCUCGGGGGGUUUUGUUUUUUCCUCUUCCCACCCACCCCCUUUUCUCUUCGCUUCUUCCCCCUCUUGCUCCCCAGGCGCGCGCUGGUGGACCUGUAAGUCGCCGGGGGCUUUAUUUUUGUAUUUUUAGCUCUAUUUUAUAUAGAUUAUAAAGAGAUAUAUCCCCGCACCCCGAAAUAUCCCCGCGCAACUCCCAAGCCAGCCAUGUCAGACGCCGCCGUGGAUACCAGCUCCGAGAUCACCACCAAGGACUUGAAAGAGAAGAAGGAAGUCGUGGAAGAGACAGAAAAUGGCAGAGAUGCCCCAGCUAAUGGAAACGCCGAAAACGAGGAAAACGGGGAGCAGGAAGCGGACAACGAGGUAGACGAGGAAGAAGAAGAAGUUGGCGAGGAUGAGGAGGACGAGGAAGAAGGCCUGGCACCUUUGCAAUUUUGCAGCUGGCUUCCCAAACAUUUCCCCCUUCUGUUGCUGAGGAGUCGGGGGUAAACUUCUCGAGCCUCAUUCACACACUCCCCAAAGGGGGGCCUAAUGUGUCGGAUGCCCCUGGGUGUGUGAGUGUAUAGGUGGACCAACCAGGUGAAGAAGAAGAUGGCGAUGAGGACGAUGAGGCCGAGGGCCCCCCAGGGAAGCGGGCAGCUGAGGACGACGAGG
Lacerta agilis (Sand lizard) is the source of this 714-nucleotide RNA transcript. It is a transcript of the gene named prothymosin alpha, with no coding region annotated. Lineage: Eukaryota; Metazoa; Chordata; Lepidosauria; Squamata; Lacertidae. The record is from RefSeq and is a predicted model, not a curated record. The transcript has 5 exons.